RNAcentral lists this ribosomal RNA (855 nucleotides) under Lactobacillus sp. 3.8.40. RNAcentral describes it as "bacterial SSU rRNA". It matches the Rfam family "Bacterial small subunit ribosomal RNA", at positions 61 to 880 of the family's 1533-position model. Lineage: Bacteria; Bacillati; Bacillota; Bacilli; Lactobacillales; Lactobacillaceae. The record is from RNAcentral.
GUCGAACGAACUCUGGUAUUGAUUGGUGCUUGCAUCAUGAUUUACAUUUGAGUGAGUGGCGAACUGGUGAGUAACACGUGGGAAACCUGCCCAGAAGCGGGGGAUAACACCUGGAAACAGAUGCUAAUACCGCAUAACAACUUGGACCGCAUGGUCCGAGUUUGAAAGAUGGCUUCGGCUAUCACUUUUGGAUGGUCCCGCGGCGUAUUAGCUAGAUGGUGGGGUAACGGCUCACCAUGGCAAUGAUACGUAGCCGACCUGAGAGGGUAAUCGGCCACAUUGGGACUGAGACACGGCCCAAACUCCUACGGGAGGCAGCAGUAGGGAAUCUUCCACAAUGGACGAAAGUCUGAUGGAGCAACGCCGCGUGAGUGAAGAAGGGUUUCGGCUCGUAAAACUCUGUUGUUAAAGAAGAACAUAUCUGAGAGUAACUGUUCAGGUAUUGACGGUAUUUAACCAGAAAGCCACGGCUAACUACGUGCCAGCAGCCGCGGUAAUACGUAGGUGGCAAGCGUUGUCCGGAUUUAUUGGGCGUAAAGCGAGCGCAGGCGGUUUUUUAAGUCUGAUGUGAAAGCCUUCGGCUCAACCGAAGAAGUGCAUCGGAAACUGGGAAACUUGAGUGCAGAAGAGGACAGUGGAACUCCAUGUGUAGCGGUGAAAUGCGUAGAUAUAUGGAAGAACACCAGUGGCGAAGGCGGCUGUCUGGUCUGUAACUGACGCUGAGGCUCGAAAGUAUGGGUAGCAAACAGGAUUAGAUACCCUGGUAGUCCAUACCGUAAACGAUGAAUGCUAAGUGUUGGAGGGUUUCCGCCCUUCAGUGCUGCAGCUAACGCAUUAAGCAUUCCGCCUGGGGGA